Molecule: long non-coding RNA, 210 nt
Filed under: Salvia miltiorrhiza (redroot sage)
Lineage: Eukaryota; Viridiplantae; Streptophyta; Magnoliopsida; Lamiales; Lamiaceae
Description: long non-coding RNA (SMIL_LNC010023)
Source: RNAcentral
AGAAAGAAAAAAAAAUGCACCAAGUUGAAUUAGUUGAGCAUGCAGUUGAUUGUGAUGAUCUUGUUGCCCAAGGAUGAGUUAGUGUUUGUUCCUCGUAUGCUUAGUGUUUUUGGAUGUGAUUCGAUUUUAAUAUGCACAAUACUUGAUCUUCAAUGUUUGAGCUUAGGACCCAUAGGAUCUUGCCUACAUCAUUGAUAGUCCUUAGCCCCA